GACGAACGCUGGCGGCGUGCCUAAUACAUGCAAGUAGAACGCUGAAGAGAGGAGCUUGCUCUUCUUGGAUGAGUUGCGAACGGGUGAGUAACGCGUAGGUAACCUGCCUGGUAGCGGGGGAUAACUAUUGGAAACGAUAGCUAAUACCGCAUAAAAUUGAUUAUUGCAUGAUAAUUAAUUGAAAGAUGCAAUUGCAUCACUACCAGAUGGACCUGCGUUGUAUUAGCUAGUUGGUGAGGUAACGGCUCACCAAGGCGACGAUACAUAGCCGACCUGAGAGGGUGAUCGGCCACACUGGGACUGAGACACGGCCCAGACUCCUACGGGAGGCAGCAGUAGGGAAUCUUCGGCAAUGGGGGGAACCCUGACCGAGCAACGCCGCGUGAGUGAAGAAGGUUUUCGGAUCGUAAAGCUCUGUUGUAAGAGAAGAACGGGUGUGAGAGUGGAAAGUUCA
This 454-nucleotide ribosomal RNA is filed under the name Streptococcus sanguinis. RNAcentral describes it as "bacterial SSU rRNA". It matches the Rfam family "Bacterial small subunit ribosomal RNA", at positions 28 to 466 of the family's 1533-position model. Lineage: Bacteria; Bacillati; Bacillota; Bacilli; Lactobacillales; Streptococcaceae. The record is from RNAcentral.